GAUGAACGCUGGCGGCGUGCCUAAUACAUGCAAGUCGAGCGAACAGACGAGGAGCUUGCUCCUCUGACGUUAGCGGCGGACAGGUGAGUAACACGUGGAUAACCUACCUAUAAGACUGGGAUAACUUCGGGAAACCGGAGCUAAUACCGGAUAAUAUAUUGAACCGCAUGGUUCAAUAGUGAAAGACGGUUUUGCUGUCACUUAUAGAUGGAUCCGCGCCGCAUUAGCUAGUUGGUAAGGUAACGGCUUACCAAGGCAACGAUGCGUAGCCGACCUGAGAGGGUGAUCGGCCACACUGGAACUGAGACACGGUCCAGACUCCUACGGGAGGCAGCAGUAGGGAAUCUUCCGCAAUGGGCGAAAGCCUGACGGAGCAACGCCGCGUGAGUGAUGAAGGUCUUCGGAUCGUAAAACUCUGUUAUUAGGGAAGAACAAAUGUGUAAGUAACUAUGCACGUCUUGACGGUACCCAAUCAGAAAGCCACGGCUAACUACGUG
RNAcentral lists this ribosomal RNA (497 nucleotides) under uncultured bacterium. RNAcentral describes it as "partial 16S ribosomal RNA". It matches the Rfam family "Bacterial small subunit ribosomal RNA", at positions 28 to 507 of the family's 1533-position model. The record is from RNAcentral.